CCUACUGGAGGCUGCAGUGGGGAAUAUUGGACAAUGGGGGGAACCCUGAUCCAGCCAUGCCGCGUGUGUGAAGAAGGCCCUCGGGUUGUAAAGCACUUUCAGUGAGGAAGAACGCCUGGUGGUUAAUACCCAUCAGGAAAGACAUCACUCACAGAAGAAGCACCGGCUAACUCCGUGCCAGCAGCCGCGGUAAUACGGAGGGUGCGAGCGUUAAUCGGAAUUACUGGGCGUAAAGCGCGCGUAGGUGGCUUGAUAAGCCGGUUGUGAAAGCCCCGGGCUCAACCUGGGAACGGCAUCCGGAACUGUCAAGCUAGAGUGCAGGAGAGGAAGGUAGAAUUCCCGGUGUAGCGGUGAAAUGCGUAGAGAUCGGGAGGAAUACCAGUGGCGAAGGCGGCCUUCUGGACUGACACUGACACUGAGGUGCGAAAGCGUGGGUAGCAAACAGGAUUAGUUACCCCAGUAGUC
This 465-nucleotide ribosomal RNA is filed under the name Vreelandella stevensii. Its description in RNAcentral is "partial 16S ribosomal RNA". It matches the Rfam family "Bacterial small subunit ribosomal RNA", at positions 338 to 795 of the family's 1533-position model. The record is from RNAcentral. Lineage: Bacteria; Pseudomonadati; Pseudomonadota; Gammaproteobacteria; Oceanospirillales; Halomonadaceae.